Molecule: long non-coding RNA, 3114 nt
Organism: Oncorhynchus kisutch (coho salmon)
Lineage: Eukaryota; Metazoa; Chordata; Actinopteri; Salmoniformes; Salmonidae
Exons: 3
Source: RefSeq, a predicted model, not a curated record
CUAUGGCUCUCCCAUAGACAUGCAAUGCGAUAGCAGCUGGGUCUACUUAAGCCUCGUUCACAAUGCAGGCCUUAAUGCUCAAAUCAGUUUUGUUUUUCAAAUCCAUUUUGGACUAUUGACAGUCUAAACAGAAAGUUACAAGUGACCAAAUCGUAUUUGUGUGUGUUCAGACAGCAGUAAUUUGCUGGCAAGGCAACGCUAGUUGUCAUAGUAACGACAGGUUUGUGUGCAGUGUUGUAAGCUGAUCGGUGGUGGUGUUUGUGCUUCCUCAGAAGUUACGUCGCAAGCUAAGGUGACAACAAUGCAUGCCAUGGAUGUUUCCCAGUUGCUUUGAAUGUUGAAUAUCACAGGGUCUACUAACCACCGGUCCUGGCAACCCAUCAUUAUGCACACCUGGCAACCCUCAUUACGCACACCUGCACCCCAUCAUGAGGCACACCUGCACCCCAUCAAGAGGCACACCUGGACUCAAACACUUCCCUGACUACUGCCCCUUUAUCUAGCACUCCCUAGCAUCACUCUUCAGUUGCGGUCAGCUAAAGAAUGUAGAAUCAGCACCUUUACUGCCAACAUCAGCACAUUUACCUCCGAAGCCAGCAUCAGCAGAGCUAAAAAUGGAGCCUGGGGAAGGUCAAUGGAAAACAAACUUCCUCCUACCCCCUCCUUUGACGUCCUUCUGGAGGUCAACAAAUGCAACGAAGAAUGGGACUGGGGUGGGGGGAUGACUGACGGUAUAUACAGUGCCUUUCGGGAAAGUAUUCAGACCCCUUGUCUUUUUCCACAUUUUAUUACAUUACAAAAUUGAUGAAAUUAAUACAAAUCCUCAGCAAUCUACACACUAUCCCAUAAUGGCAAAGCGAAAACAGUUUUUAGAAAUGUUUGCAAAUGUAUUUAAAAUUAAAAACAUAAGUAUUCAGACCCUUUGUUAUGAGACUUGAAAUUUAGCUCAGGUGCAUCCUGUUUCCAUUGAUCAUCCUUGAGAUGUUUCCACAACUUGACUGGAGUCCACCUGUGGUACAUUAAAAUGAUUGGACAUGAUCUGGAAAGGCACACACCUGUCUAUAUCUGGUCCCACAGUUGACAGUGCAUGUCAAGUCAUGAGGUCGAGGGAAGUUCUACUUCAAGCGUUGCGAUGAGCUGCUGGCAAACGCAGGAAAGUGCUGUUUGAAUUAAUGCUUACGUCAGACUGCUCUAUCAUAUCAAAUCAUAGGCUCAAUUAUAAUACAAUAAACACACAGAAAUACGAGCCUUCGGUCAUUAAUUUGGUCUAAUCCGGAAACUAUCAUUUCGAAAACAAAACGUUCCGUAUUUUAUCAAACGGGUGGCAACCCUAAGUCUAAAUAUUGCUGUUACAUUGCACAACCUUCAAUGUUAUAUCAUAAUUAUGUAAAAUGCUGGCAAAUUAAUUACUGUCUUUGUUAGGAAGAUAUGGUCUUCACACAGCUCUCAACGAGCCAGACGGCCCAAACUACUGCAUAUACUGCUUACACGGAAUGCAAGAGAAGUGACACAAUUUCCCUUGUUAAUAUUGCCUGCUAAAAGUAAUUUCUUUUAACUAAAUAUGCAGGUUUAAAAAUAUAUACUUGUGUAUUGAUUUUAAGAAAGGCAUUGGUGCUUCUGAUUAGGUACAUUGGUGCUACGAUUGUGCUUUUUUUGCGAAUGUGCUUUUGUUAAAUCAUCACCCGUUUGGCGAAGUAGGCUGUGAUCUGAUGAUAAUUAUCAGGCACCGCAUUGAUUAUAUGCAACACAGGACAAGCUAGUUAAAUUAGUAACAUCAUCAACCAUAGUGACUAUAAUAAGAUUGCAUAACAUAACAGGUGGUCAGCCUACCACACAGUCUCCUCGUGGAGUGCAAUGUAAUUUAUUUUACCUUUAUUUUACUAGGCAAGUCAGUUAAGAACAAAUUCUUAUUUUCAAUGACGGCCUAGGAACAGUGGGUGAACUGCCUGUUCAGGGGCAGAACGACAGAUUUGUACCUUGUCAGCUCGGGGAUUUGAACUUGCAACCUUUUGGUUACUAGUCCAACGCUCUAACCACUAGGCUACCCUGCCUAACGAGAUCGCUGUAAUCAGCCAUAAUCUGCACCCAAAAAGGCUGAUUACCGAUUGUUAUGAAAACUUGAAAUCGGCCCUAAUCAAUCGGUCAACCUCUAUUUGGUACCACCAAGACUCUUCCUAGAGCUGGCCGGUCGGCCAAACUGAGCAAUCGGUGGAGAAGGGCCGUGGACAGGGAGGUGACCAAGAACCCGGUGGUCACUCUGACAGUGCUCUAGAGUUCCUCUGUGGAGAUGGGAGAAACUUCCAGACAACCAUCUCUGCAGCACUCCACCAAUCAGACCUUUAUGGUAGAUUGGCCAGACAGAACCCACUCUUUAGUAAAAGGCACAUGACAGCCUGCUUGGAGUUUGUAAAAAGGAUAUCUAAAGGACUCUCAGACUAUGAUAAACAAGAUUCUCUGGUCUGAUGAAACCUAUAUUGAACUCCUUGAAUGCCAAGUGUCAAGUCUGGAGGAAACCUGGCACCAACCCUACGGUGAAGCAUGGUAGUAGCAGCAUCAUGCUGUGGGGAUGUUUUUCAGCGGCAGGGAAUGUGGGAGACUUCAAUAUGAUGGUUAUUAUAUCAAUAUUUGUGCAUAAAAGGGUUUCCACCGACAUUUCUCACAAAAUUAAUUUUACUGACACAAAAAUAUCUCACAUUGUCUAGCGUAUUUUAUUUUGUUUUGUCGACAUUUGGAAAUACGUUGUUUCCAUCAGGUCAUGACAUUUUUUAUAUCCAACAUGUACUUUACUUGCAUAAAAAGUUUGAAUGGAAACCUGGUUAAUAACCAGAAUUUUUGCUGGCGUAGAAAGUUGUUCAAUGUAAAUCCUGAAUUCGAAAUUGGGUAAAUGUGUGAACUGGAGGUGUUUCAAUGCAGACCCCAUAUUCAAAACACAUCAAAGUGUACUGUGAAUGUAGACAACAAGUCAACCUGUAUUUUUUCUUUGAUUAUAAAGAACAUACAGUAUUUCCUCACAAUUAUCACUUUAUUUUUGUAUAUCUUAUUUUUUUUCAGUCAUAUAUAAACAAACAAACAUAUCACAAUUAAUAGUUUUUGAAUAAAAAACCUUUUUGUCAA